UACGGAGGGUGCAAACGUUAUCCGGAAUCACUGGGCGUAAAGAGCAUGUAGGUGGUUUGAUAAGUGGACGAUUAAAGACCGAUGCUUAACAUCGGGACUGUUUUCCAUACUGUUUGACUAGAGGAUGGUAGGGGUACGUGGAACUUUAGGUGUAGGAGUGAAAAUCCGUAGAUAUCUAAAAGGGAAACACCCAAAUGGGCGAA
RNAcentral lists this ribosomal RNA (203 nucleotides) under uncultured bacterium. RNAcentral's name for it is "partial 16S ribosomal RNA". It matches the Rfam family "Bacterial small subunit ribosomal RNA", at positions 524 to 719 of the family's 1533-position model. The record is from RNAcentral.